This 367-nucleotide ribosomal RNA is filed under the name uncultured bacterium. Its description in RNAcentral is "bacterial SSU rRNA". It matches the Rfam family "Bacterial small subunit ribosomal RNA", at positions 145 to 507 of the family's 1533-position model. The record is from RNAcentral.
AACGUAGCGAAAGUUACGCUAAUACCGCAUACGAUCUAAGGAUGAAAGCGGGGGAUCGCAAGACCUCGCGCGAUUGGAGCGGCCGAUAUCAGAUUAGGUAGUUGGUGAGGUAAAGGCUCACCAAGCCAACGAUCUGUAGCUGGUCUGAGAGGACGACCAGCCACACUGGAACUGAGACACGGUCCAGACUCCUACGGGAGGCAGCAGUGGGGAAUUUUUGGACAAUGGACGCAAGUCUGAUCCAGCCAUUCCGCGUGCAGGAUGAAGGCCCUCGGGUUGUAAACUGCUUUGUACGGAACGAAAAGGUUUGUCUUAAUACGAUGAGCUCAUGACGGUACCGUAAGAAUAAGCACCGGCUAACUACGUG